Molecule: ribosomal RNA, 369 nt
Filed under: uncultured Streptococcus sp.
Lineage: Bacteria; Bacillati; Bacillota; Bacilli; Lactobacillales; Streptococcaceae
Description: bacterial SSU rRNA
Rfam family: Bacterial small subunit ribosomal RNA
Source: RNAcentral
AAGUUACUUCGGUACAUCGGUGACAGGUGGUGCAUGGUUGUCGUCAGCUCGUGUCGUGAGAUGUUGGGUUAAGUCCCGCAACGAGCGCAACCCCUAUUGUUAGUUGCCAUCAUUCAGUUGGGCACUCUAGCGAGACUGCCGGUAAUAAACCGGAGGAAGGUGGGGAUGACGUCAAAUCAUCAUGCCCCUUAUGACCUGGGCUACACACGUGCUACAAUGGUUGGUACAACGAGUUGCGAGUCGGUGACGGCGAGCUAAUCUCUUAAAGCCAAUCUCAGUUCGGAUUGUAGGCUGCAACUCGCCUACAUGAAGUCGGAAUCGCUAGUAAUCGCGGAUCAGCACGCCGCGGUGAAUACGCUCCCGGGCCUU